Polyodon spathula (Mississippi paddlefish) is the source of this 1717-nucleotide RNA transcript. It is a transcript of the gene named SLC35A4 upstream open reading frame protein-like, with no coding region annotated. Lineage: Eukaryota; Metazoa; Chordata; Actinopteri; Acipenseriformes; Polyodontidae. The transcript is spliced from 4 exons. The record is from RefSeq and is a predicted model, not a curated record.
UCAACACGCAAACUCAGAAGGAAGCGGGCAAAGAUGGCGGACGACAAGGUGAGAGAUGCUCUGAAUAAGCUGAAGGACCUGGCUCAUCUUAAAAACCAGCUGGAGGACAUUCAGAAAAGAGUGGAGGAGGAGGUGCAGGCAGGGAUACCACAGGGUGGAUCUUUGUUGGCCUCUCCCUUUCUUAAGGGAUUUCUGGCUGGAUAUGUAGUAGCAAAGCUACGCUCCUCUGCUGUGAUGGGUGUGUUAAUAGGAACAUGCACAGGCAUCUACGCUGCACAGAACUUUGAUGUCCCUAAUAUAGAAAAGACCAUCAAGGACUAUUUCAACUCCAUUAAAAAAGGACCAAACUAGAAGAAACCUCAAUCCUGCCAACUGGAGGCGAAGAAAAGGAAUUGGUACCUGGAAGCAAUAUUAAACCAGAACGCUUUUCUUUGCAUUUAUUACUCUGAUAGACUUUAAUGUUAUAUUUAUUCUGCGGUGGUGUGGUUAGUUUUGGGACAAAGUUUAAAGAUAUUUACAGGUUGUAAAUAAGAGUUUGCAACACAUGGUCCAAGACUUUGCAUUUUAAAAUUGAUUUUCGUAAAAGUUCUGUUGCAAGGAGUUACUAAUUCCUUGUUGCGCCAACGAGAAUCUACUUUUGCAACUGCACAGUCUUUUAGAAUUUUUACUUUACUUGCCUUAAAUCUUUAAGAUGUAAACAAUAUUUGUUUACUUGCCUUAAACCUUUAUCAGAUGUAAACAAAUUAAAAAAACUAAAUGCAGCUUGUUUUUUUUUUUUUUUGUCAGGAAUAAGAUACGAAAUGAUUGAAACUACAGUUAAAUUCAAAAAUAAAAUACCAUUGCAAGAUGAGACCUACUCAAAAUUAGAGAAGCUACUGUUACAGGACAGCCUUUGGAGAAGGAUCCUUUCAGAACUGGAAAGAACAGAUUUAUUUCUUUGCAAUAUUUUUUAUUUUAUAUUUUUUACUGAAGUGAACAAAGCAAUCCCCCUCUGUUAAUGAUGUGCUGUAUAAUUCCAGCUGCUGCUUGGUACAUGUUGACUUGAUAUGCAGGAAUGUAGCUUUAGUGUUGCAUUUGAAAAAUGUUCUUAUUCUGAGUUACAGUAAAAUAAAUAUAUUUAAAAAAACACAUUCGUGUAUAACCAGUGUUUUAGCAUUACAAUAAAGUUAAUGAGAGGUAACACAUUUUAAAGGGUUGUUAUCGCUGCUGUAAGAUUGUCAUUCCAACAGCACUUUGGGGAUGAUGAAGAUCUGAUUUGCUAUUGUUAUGUCCUUGCUGUUACACCAAGCUGUGAUUCUUGAGAAAACAGAAGUGCUAGGAGAUGAGCCAGUGUUUAACUGGCAUACUUGGUUUGUCAUGGAAGCCAUUGAAUUGGAAUGUGUUAUAGUACACCCCUGGGAGUAAUCGUUUUUUUUUUCUUUAAAAAGUGUUGCUGAUCAAACAGGCACACUCCUGUGUGAUUUUAAUUCGCAAUGCUGCGGUCCUUCUCCAUCUUAGGUUAUGGCAGUAUCUCACAGACGAUGCUGAGAGCCUCUGGCAACCUUCUUCACAGACAGCGCAUCUCUCAGCUCUGCAAAUGCUAAAGUGCAAGUGCAGAAAACAUGUUUAUUACUUGGUGCUUCUCUGGUGGCGCCUAUUGAAAUGUACAUAAUGUUACGGCCAAAAACCCUAUAGAAGUAACUGAGACCUGCUGAAUAAUGUUACAUUAACAUAUAGA